CUUUGGGCCGGUCCAGCC
This 18-nucleotide non-coding RNA is filed under the name Arabidopsis thaliana (thale cress). The record is from RNAcentral. Lineage: Eukaryota; Viridiplantae; Streptophyta; Magnoliopsida; Brassicales; Brassicaceae.